GCUAUGACGUUGGUGCCGCCGUUGGUGCCGUGAGACUCGUGUCUUCGCCGCCGUCGCCGUCGCCGCGUGCUUGCCGUCGCUGGACCUCCCUCGAAGAUCGAUCUGGCUACAAACGAUUCGAUGGCGAAGUGCCAGUGGCCGAGCUUCGCGAACCUCGCUUGUGGCUUGAUGAAUCGGAUGGCAUGUCGCCCUAAUCCUUAAAGUAAAUGAUCUCUUGGGGUGCUUGAUGUUUAGGUAUGGACCCUUUGGAGAGGAGGUUUCGAGAGUGCUAGGCGGUGGUCUUGUGCCAGGUUCCUUAAUUUUGGUGGGAGGUGAUCCUGGUGUUGGCAAGAGUACCCUGUUGCUGCAGAUGGCUGCAAUGAUUGCUGAAGGGCAUGAUCUUGGGAGAUCGGCUCCAGUAGUAUGUCUCUAGGGAAGAGCCAGAGGUAAAUGGAUUUUUCAUGCUAGCCUUCUGCUGGUCUUUGCUGUCAUGCAUAUUCAUUCUUGUUACCAGAUCAAAUUUGUUAUUGCUUUCGGACAAUUUUUCUUGUUUGUAAACAUAGGCUCUUGUGCAUUUUCUGUCUUAGGAUUUCUCUGGCUUGUAUCUUAAGAAUUAGCCACGAGACAAUUUUACUCAAGGAGUCUUGAUAGAAAUGAGGAUAUAGAUUUUCUCUGAUAGGCAUGUGCUGUAUGUGUUGCUUAUCUUUUUUUCUAGCCAACCUGUAUGUAUCGUUGUCAUAUGACACUCAGAAUCUACCUUUUCCCCUUAUGAGGAAUCUCUUUGAUUUUGUAUUAGAGUGUGGAGCAAAUUGGAAGUAGAGCUGACCGUCUAAAUGUAAAAGAUUUACAUUGCUGUGUAUUGGCAGGUACCGAAAAUGGAGGGCCAAUAUUGAAUUAUUUCGGCUUUUGGAUUUUCGCGCUCACUACGAAAAUGAAACCAAAAAACAAAAAAAAACCUGUUGGAACUUGGAACCGACCCCGGAACCUGUGAUAGGGUAGGUUCCAGGUUCUCGGU
Molecule: long non-coding RNA, 994 nt
Organism: Eucalyptus grandis
Lineage: Eukaryota; Viridiplantae; Streptophyta; Magnoliopsida; Myrtales; Myrtaceae
Exons: 3
Source: RefSeq, a predicted model, not a curated record